CUGCUCUUGACAUCCAGAAGAGUACUAUGGAGAGAAGAGAUACAUAGGUGCCUUUGGGAAUUCUGAGACAGAUGCUGCAUGGCUCUCGUCAGCUCGUGUUGUGAAAUGUUGGGUUAAGUCCCGCAACGAGCACAACCCUUAUCCUUUGUUACCAGCGAUUUGGUCAGGAACUCAAAGGAAACUGCCGGUGAUAAACUGGAGGAAGGUGGGGAUGACGUCAAGUCAUCAUGGCCCUUACGAGUAGAGCUAUACACGUGCUACAAUCGCGCAUAAAAAGAGAAGCAAUCUCGCGAGAGUUAGCAAAUCUCAUAAAGUGCGUCGUAGUCCGGAUUGGAGUCUGCAACUUUCAACUCCAUGAAGUCGGAAUCGCUAGUAAUCGUGGAUCAGAAUGUCACGGUGAAUA
This 403-nucleotide ribosomal RNA is filed under the name uncultured Enterobacteriaceae bacterium. Its description in RNAcentral is "bacterial SSU rRNA". It matches the Rfam family "Bacterial small subunit ribosomal RNA", at positions 975 to 1368 of the family's 1533-position model. Lineage: Bacteria; Pseudomonadati; Pseudomonadota; Gammaproteobacteria; Enterobacterales; Enterobacteriaceae. The record is from RNAcentral.